UAGUUAUUUUAAUUUUAAUUGCAUAGUUUAUCUAAGUUUGUAGAGUUUUCUUUUGCAGAUGCAUGUUUAAUUGGUAGUAGUUUCUGGCAUGGAUAUGAUUGCUGAUAAUAAAGUCUUGUAAGUUGCAUGUUACUUCCUCAUCACGUCUGGACGUAUACAAAUGAGAAUCUUUGCUAUCAUAUUUGAUAAAUCUUUGUUUCUGUUUAUUUAGGUCAGUGUUCUACAAGUGUCCAGCCUUCCAUGUACACAUUCCUAGACCACCAAGUGGAGUUCAUUAUCCAAAUAAGUCUAUCAUCAAGAAGCAUGUUAAACCCACACCAUUUUUUUGGCAUGAGAAGUCUGCUGUUGUUGGACGGUUGCAUUCUUUAAGCUAAACAAAUGGACUCACAACAAAGACAAGUGCACAAAGGAUGAUGAAUUGAAGGAUGGAGCAAGUUUCACGCAUGGUUUACUUUUGUGUAUCUUGUAAUGUUUCUAUUUUUCAUUUUUGAAGUAAAAAUUGUACAAGAUUAUAAAACUUUCUUAUGUUAUGCUUUCAAACUUAAGUUAGAAC
Long non-coding RNA from Humulus lupulus (European hop), 553 nucleotides. RefSeq lists it as uncharacterized. The transcript is spliced from 3 exons. Lineage: Eukaryota; Viridiplantae; Streptophyta; Magnoliopsida; Rosales; Cannabaceae. The record is from RefSeq and is a predicted model, not a curated record.